RNAcentral lists this ribosomal RNA (925 nucleotides) under uncultured bacterium. RNAcentral describes it as "bacterial SSU rRNA". It matches the Rfam family "Bacterial small subunit ribosomal RNA", at positions 56 to 980 of the family's 1533-position model. The record is from RNAcentral.
UGCAGUCGACGGCAGCGCGGGGCAACCUGGCGGCGAGUGGCGAACGGGUGAGUAAUAUAUCGGAACGUGCCCUGGAGUGGGGGAUAACGCAGCGAAAGUUGCGCUAAUACCGCAUACGAUCUAAGGAUGAAAGCGGGGGAUUCGCAAGAACCUCGUGCUCCUGGAGCGGCCGAUAUCUGAUUAGCUAGUUGGUGGGGUAAAGGCCUACCAAGGCAUCGAUCAGUAGCUGGUCUGAGAGGACGACCAGCCACACUGGAACUGAGACACGGUCCAGACUCCUACGGGAGGCAGCAGUGGGGAAUUUUGGACAAUGGGCGAAAGCCUGAUCCAGCAAUGCCGCGUGAGUGAAGAAGGCCUUCGGGUUGUAAAGCUCUUUUGUCAGGGAAGAAACGGUGAAGGCUAAUAUCCUUUGCUAAUGACGGUACCUGAAGAAUAAGCACCGGCUAACUACGUGCCAGCAGCCGCGGUAAUACGUAGGGUGCAAGCGUUAAUCGGAAUUACUGGGCGUAAAGCGUGCGCAGGCGGUUUUGUAAGUCUGUCGUGAAAUCCCCGGGCUCAACCUGGGAAUUGCGAUGGAGACUGCAAGGCUAGAAUCUGGCAGAGGGGGGUAGAAUUCCACGUGUAGCAGUGAAAUGCGUAGAGAUGUGGAGGAACACCGAUGGCGAANGCAGCCCCCUGGGUCAAGAUUGACGCUCAUGCACGAAAGCGUGGGGAGCAAACAGGAUUAGAUACCCUGGUAGUCCACGCCCUAAACGAUGUCUACUAGUUGUCGGGUUUUAAUUAACUUGGUAACGCAGCUAACGCGUGAAGUAGACCGCCNGGGGAGUACGGUCGCAAGAUUAAAACUCNNGGAAUUGACGGGGACCCGCACAAGCGGUGGAUGAUGUGGAUUNAUUCGAUGCNNCGCGAAAAACCUUACCUACCC